AUUACUAAGUUAGUGUGUUGUAAAGAAGAAAGUUAUCUUAGAUAGCCUUUGAUCAUGACGCUGUACCUUGGUUUUUUCCUGAUUAAAUAGCAGACUCCGGCCAAUAUAUGCCGAAAAGGCAAGUUUUUUUGAUGUUAUAUAGGAAAAGUCAAAUGUCUGACAAAAUGAAAGGUCAAGUUAAGUGGUUCAACGAGUCUAAAGGCUUCGGUUUCAUCACUCCUGCUGAUGGUAGCAAAGACGUUUUCGUCCACUUCUCUGCCAUUCAAGGCGCUGGUUUUAAAACUCUGGCUGAAGGCCAACAAGUUGAAUUCACCAUUGAAAAUGGUGCUAAAGGUCCAGCAGCAGCUAACGUAACUGCAAUCUAAGUUAAUUACUUAACUGAUUUCUAAAGCCCGUCAUUUUUAAUGACGGGCUUUUUC
RNAcentral lists this small RNA (419 nucleotides) under Providencia sneebia DSM 19967. RNAcentral's name for it is "cspA thermoregulator". It matches the Rfam family "cspA thermoregulator". Lineage: Bacteria; Pseudomonadati; Pseudomonadota; Gammaproteobacteria; Enterobacterales; Morganellaceae. The record is from Rfam by way of RNAcentral.